UGUGAACGGUCAACGUGUCAAGCGUUACCUAGCUGAUCAAGAGACACAAGAGGGGUCCUGCAUACCUCUAUAUGAGCCUCCCAGAGCCUAAAAAGCAUAAAAGUCAAGCUUAGUGACUUUAAACAAGCUCACUUGGGAGGAAGUCCCAAAGGUAUCCCUGUACAUAUUAUUUAGGAUUUUUCUUGUGUUUUUUAUUUUUGUUUUUGAUUUUAUGUUAGUCAGGAUUACGCGUUGUUGGAGUUUGAAUAUGAUUAUCAAAGAAUUGCCGGUGAAGAGUCGAGUAUGAGAUAGUAAAAAAUGUGAAGAGGGAGACAAUUAUUUGGUGUUGUCCAAGUGAGACAUAUAUAUAUAUAAAAAAAAAAAAAAAAAAAAAAAAAAAAAAUCUCACUCGGCCGUACCCACUCGACCCAACCUUCUUUUUCUUUCAUACCCUUAUCCUCUCCCUAUCUCUUUCUCCUUAACCACACAAAAUCCUUCCUCUCUCUUACCUCUCACUCGAACUCAUUUUUCUUUCAUACCUCUCAUUCUCUCCGACUUUCAUCAAUCAUCUCACUCGACUGUCGUCUCUCCUCG
RNAcentral lists this long non-coding RNA (573 nucleotides) under Capsella rubella. Its description in RNAcentral is "long non-coding RNA (CRUB_LNC000160)". The record is from RNAcentral. Lineage: Eukaryota; Viridiplantae; Streptophyta; Magnoliopsida; Brassicales; Brassicaceae.